UGAACGCUGGCGGCGUGCCUACUACAUGCAAGUCGAGCGAACGGACGCGAAGCUUGCUUCUCUGAUGUUAGCGGCGGACGGGUGAGUAACACGUGGAUAACCUACCUAUAAGACUGGGAUAACUUCGGGAAACCGGAACUAAUACCGGAUGAUAUUUUGAACCGCAUGGUUCAAAAGUGAAAGACGGUCUUGCUGUCACUUAUAGAUGGAUCCGCGCUGCAUUAGCUAGUUGGUAAGGUAACGGCUUACCAAGGCAACGAUGCAUAGCCGACCUGAGAGGGUGAUCGGCCACACUGGAACUGAGACACGGUCCAGACUCCUACGGGAGGCAGCAGUAGGGAAUCUUCCGCAAUGGGCGAAAGCCUGACGGAGCAACGCCGCGUGAGUGAUGAAGGUCUUCGGAUCGUAAAACUCUGUUAUUAGGGAAGAACAUAUGUGUAAGUAACUGUGCACAUCUUGACGGUACCUAAUCAGAAAGCCACGGCUAACUACGUG
Molecule: ribosomal RNA, 495 nt
Filed under: uncultured bacterium
Lineage: Bacteria
Description: partial 16S ribosomal RNA
Rfam family: Bacterial small subunit ribosomal RNA
Source: RNAcentral